RNAcentral lists this ribosomal RNA (586 nucleotides) under Trichoderma harzianum. RNAcentral's name for it is "eukaryotic LSU rRNA". The stretch from base 216 to 369 matches the Rfam family "5.8S ribosomal RNA". The record is from RNAcentral. Lineage: Eukaryota; Fungi; Ascomycota; Sordariomycetes; Hypocreales; Hypocreaceae.
GUGGGGGAUCAUUACCGAGUUUACAACUCCCAAACCCAAUGUGAACGUUACCAAACUGUUGCCUCGGCGGGAUCUCUGCCCCGGGUGCGUCGCAGCCCCGGACCAAGGCGCCCGCCGGAGGACCAACCAAAACUCUUAUUGUAUACCCCCUCGCGGGUUUUUUUAUAAUCUGAGCCUUCUCGGCGCCUCUCGUAGGCGUUUCGAAAAUGAAUCAAAACUUUCAACAACGGAUCUCUUGGUUCUGGCAUCGAUGAAGAACGCAGCGAAAUGCGAUAAGUAAUGUGAAUUGCAGAAUUCAGUGAAUCAUCGAAUCUUUGAACGCACAUUGCGCCCGCCAGUAUUCUGGCGGGCAUGCCUGUCCGAGCGUCAUUUCAACCCUCGAACCCCUCCGGGGGGUCGGCGUUGGGGAUCGGCCCUGCCUUGGCGGUGGCCGUCUCCGAAAUACAGUGGCGGUCUCGCCGCAGCCUCUCCUGCGCAGUAGUUUGCACACUCGCAUCGGGAGCGCGGCGCGUCCACAGCCGUUAAACACCCAACUUCUGAAAUGUUGACCUCGGAUCAGGUAGGAAUACCCGCUGAACUUAAGAAU